Molecule: ribosomal RNA, 604 nt
Filed under: Salmonella enterica
Lineage: Bacteria; Pseudomonadati; Pseudomonadota; Gammaproteobacteria; Enterobacterales; Enterobacteriaceae
Description: partial 23S ribosomal RNA
Source: RNAcentral
AGUGGAAGCGUCUGGAAAGGCGCGCGAUACAGGGUGACAGCCCCGUACACAAAAGCGCAUGUGCUGUGAGCUCGAUGAGUAGGGCGGGACACGUGGUAUCCUGUCUGAAUAUGGGGGGACCAUCCUCCAAGGCUAAAUACUCCUGACUGACCGAUAGUGAACCAGUACCGUGAGGGAAAGGCGAAAAGAACCCCGGCGAGGGGAGUGAAAAAGAACCUGAAACCGUGUACGUACAAGCAGUGGGAGCACAGGUUUACCUGUGUGACUGCGUACCUUUUGUAUAAUGGGUCAGCGACUUAUAUUCUGUAGCAAGGUUAACCGAAUAGGGGAGCCGGAGGGAAACCGAGUCUUAAYYGGGCGUUAAGUUGCAGGGUAUAGACCCGAAACCCGGUGAUCUAGCCAUGGGCAGGUUGAAGGUUGGGUAACACUAACUGGAGGACCGAACCGACUAAUGUUGAAAAAUUAGCGGAUGACCUGUGGCUGGGGGUGAAAGGCCAAUCAAACCGGGAGAUAGCUGGUUCUCCCCGAAAGCUAUUUAGGUAGCGCCUCGUGAAUUCAUCUCCGGGGGUAGAGCACUGUUUCGGCUAGGGGGCCAUCCCGGCUU